RNAcentral lists this unclassified non-coding RNA (257 nucleotides) under plant metagenome. Its description in RNAcentral is "partial contains small subunit ribosomal RNA, internal transcribed spacer 1, and 5.8S ribosomal RNA". The record is from RNAcentral.
UUUCCGUAGGUGAACCUGCGGAAGGAUCAUUAUCGUAAAACCGAGGUGCGAGGGCUGUCGCUGACCUUUUCGGUCGUGCACGCCCGAGCGCUCUCACACAAUCCAUCUCACCCCUUGUGCACCACCGCGUGGGUCCCUUUCUGGCUCGCCCGGAGGGGGGCUCGCGUUUUCACACAAACUUGAAGUAGUGUAGAAUGUCCUUUUUUUGCGAUAACACGCAAUCAAUACAACUUUCAACAACGGAUCUCUUGGCUCUC